Molecule: ribosomal RNA, 498 nt
Filed under: uncultured bacterium
Lineage: Bacteria
Description: partial 16S ribosomal RNA
Rfam family: Bacterial small subunit ribosomal RNA
Source: RNAcentral
GAUGAACGCUGGCGGCGUGCCUAAUACAUGCAAGUCGAGCGAACAGACGCGGAGCUUGCUCCUCUGACGUUAGCGGCGCACGGGUGAGUAACACGUGUAUAAUCUACCUAUAAGACUGGGAUAACUUCGGGAAACCGGAGCUAAUACCGGAUAAUAUAUUGAACCGCAUUGUUCAAUAGUGAAAGACGGUGUUUCUGUCACUUAUAGAUGGAUCCGCGCCGGAUUAGCUAGUUGGUAAGGUUACGGCUUACCAAGGCAAGGAUGCGUAGCCGACAGGCGAGGGUGGUCGGCCGCACUGGAAGUGAGACACGGUACAGAGGGCCAGGGGAGGGAGCAGGAGGGCAUCUUCCGGAAUGAGCGAAAGACUGAGGGAGAAGCGCCGAGGGAUGAUGGAACGUCGCCGGAUCGUAAAUGACGGUUAUUGGGGAAGAAAAAGUGUGUAAGUAACUAUGCGCGUCUGGACGGUAACUAAGUAGAGAGCCACGGGCAAAUACGGGC